RNAcentral lists this small RNA (125 nucleotides) under Marmota monax (woodchuck). Lineage: Eukaryota; Metazoa; Chordata; Mammalia; Rodentia; Sciuridae. The record is from RNAcentral.
GCCGGGUGUGGUGAUGCAUGCCUAUAAUCUCAGCAGCUUGGGAGGCUGAGGCAGGAGGAUCGUGGGUUCAAAACUAGCCUCAAUAAAAGCAAUGUGCUAAGCAACUCAGUGAGACCCUGUCUCUA